AAUUAAUUAAGUGGCACAAAAGUUUCCUUCCAAUAUUUUUCACAUGGCAUCGGAGAAUUGUCCGAUCCCUUAAAUGUCGCUUGACCAAGUAUCGCAUGGCCCCAAACACUCACAGCUUCACGUUCUUGGAAGUCACCUCCAAUCAAGAGACAGUGGAUACAAGCAACGAUGGUGGAUAAGAUGAUGGAGUCAUGUCCAUCACUACACACAAACUCAAUGGUCAUGAUUAUCUCCACUGAUAAUAAUCAGUUAGGAUGUUCAUAUGUGGAUUUAGCACAUUCUCUUUGGUUUGGUGGGUAUUCUGUCCUUGCUUUGGUUGUUGGUAUUUUGGUGGCUGUUUGAUCUUUUGGUAAUUUGAACUGAUAUUUUAGUGGUUUGAUCGAUUUUACCCCUUCGAGAUUUAUUUAUAAGUGCAUUUUAUGCACUUAUUUGAACUUCUAUUUUUAUUCGAU
Molecule: long non-coding RNA, 452 nt
Filed under: Olea europaea (common olive)
Lineage: Eukaryota; Viridiplantae; Streptophyta; Magnoliopsida; Lamiales; Oleaceae
Description: long non-coding RNA (OEUR_LNC013631)
Source: RNAcentral